This 489-nucleotide ribosomal RNA is filed under the name Streptococcus mutans. RNAcentral describes it as "bacterial SSU rRNA". It matches the Rfam family "Bacterial small subunit ribosomal RNA", at positions 28 to 491 of the family's 1533-position model. Lineage: Bacteria; Bacillati; Bacillota; Bacilli; Lactobacillales; Streptococcaceae. The record is from RNAcentral.
GACGAACGCUGCCGGCGUGCCUAAUACAUGCAAGUGGGACGCAAGGGAACACACUGUGCUUGCACACCGUGUUUUCUUGAGUCGCGAACGGGUGAGUAACGCGUAGGUAACCUGCCUAUUAGCGGGGGAUAACUAUUGGAAACGAUAGCUAAUACCGCAUAAUAUUAAUUAUUGCAUGAUAAUUGAUUGAAAGAUGCAAGCGCAUCACUAGUAGAUGGACCUGCGUUGUAUUAGCUAGUUGGUAAGGUAAGAGCUUACCAAGGCGACGAUACAUAGCCGACCUGAGAGGGUGAUCGGCCACACUGGGACUGAGACACGGCCCAGACUCCUACGGGAGGCAGCAGUAGGGAAUCUUCGGCAAUGGACGAAAGUCUGACCGAGCAACGCCGCGUGAGUGAAGAAGGUUUUCGGAUCGUAAAGCUCUGUUGUAAGUCAAGAACGUGUGUGAGAGUGGAAAGUUCACACAGUGACGGUAGCUUACCAGAAAGG